GGGUAUUUGUCUUUCCAUUUACAGUUCUCUUGCUGCCCCCCCCCCCUCUGUAGAGAGCUGAUAUCGAUUUUUAGUGUUUCAUGUUUUAUUGAGUCAGGUUCCUUUUAUGAGAUUUCUGGGGACUUAGUUUAGAAAACAUGAGGUGCAGCCACCUCCCAGUGAUGAUACAGGUGUCUUAUUUCCAUGGGAAUCUGGGUCAGGACCGCACUAUUUCCUUGAGAGUGC
Molecule: non-coding RNA, 225 nt
Organism: Pelobates cultripes (western spadefoot toad)
Lineage: Eukaryota; Metazoa; Chordata; Amphibia; Anura; Pelobatidae
Source: the annotation of a GenBank genome assembly